CGAAAGCCUGAUGCAGCAACGCCGCGUGCGGGAAGAAGGCCUUAGGGUUGUAAACCGCUUCAGCAGGGAAGAAACUGACGGUACCUGCAGAAGAAGGUGCGGCCAACUACGUGCCAGCAGCCGCGGUGACACGUAGGCACCAAGCGUUGUCCGGAUUUAUUGGGCGUAAAGAGCUCGUAGGCGGUUCAGUAAGUCGGGUGUGAAAACUCUGGGCUCAACCCAGAGACGCCACCCGAUACUGCUGUGACUUGAGUACGGUAGGGGAGUGGGGAAUUCCUGGUGUAGCGGUGAAAUGCGCAGAUAUCAGGAGGAACACCAGUGGCGAAGGCGCCACUCUGGGCCGUAACUGACGCUGAGGAGCGAAAGCGUGGGUAGCAAACAGGAUUAGAUACCCUGGUAGUCCACGCCGUAAACGUUGGGCACUAGGUGUGGGUCUCAACCAACGAGAUCCGCGCCGUCGCUAACGCAUUAAGUGCCCCGCCUGGGGAGUACGGUCGCAAGACUA
Molecule: ribosomal RNA, 505 nt
Filed under: uncultured Actinomycetes bacterium
Lineage: Bacteria; Bacillati; Actinomycetota; Actinomycetes
Description: bacterial SSU rRNA
Rfam family: Bacterial small subunit ribosomal RNA
Source: RNAcentral